CUGUGGUGCUUGCUUCAGCUAUACUAAAAUUGGAACGAUACAGAGAUUAGCAUCGCCCCUGCGCAAGGAUGACACGCAAAUUCGUGAAGCAUUCCAUAUUUUU
Molecule: small nuclear RNA, 103 nt
Organism: Neogale vison (American mink)
Lineage: Eukaryota; Metazoa; Chordata; Mammalia; Carnivora; Mustelidae
Source: Ensembl